CCUACGGGGGGCAGCAGUAGGGAAUCUUCCACAAUGGGCGAAAGCCUGAUGGAGCAACGCCGCGUGGGUGAAGAAGGUCUUCGGAUCGUAAAACCCUGUUGUUAGAGAAGAAAGUGCGUGAGAGUAACUGUUCACGUUUCGACGGUAUCUAACCAGAAAGCCACGGCUAACUACGUGCCAGCAGCCGCGGUAAUACGUAGGUGGCAAGCGUUAUCCGGAUUUAUUGGGCGUAAAGGGAACGCAGGCGGUCUUUUAAGUCUGAUGGGAAAGCCUUGGGCUUAACCGGAGUAGUGCAUUGGAAACUGGGAGACUUGAGUGCAGAAGAGGAGAGUGGAACUCCAUGUGUAGCGGUGAAAUGCGUAGAUAUAUGGAAGAACACCAGUGGCGAAAGCGGCUCUCUGGUCUGUAACUGACGCUGAGGUUCGAAAGCGUGGGUAGCAAACAGGAUUAGAUACCCGGGUAGUC
RNAcentral lists this ribosomal RNA (465 nucleotides) under uncultured bacterium. RNAcentral's name for it is "partial 16S ribosomal RNA". It matches the Rfam family "Bacterial small subunit ribosomal RNA", at positions 338 to 795 of the family's 1533-position model. The record is from RNAcentral.